ACGCACGCUGGCGGCGUGCCUAAUCCAUGCAAGUCGAGCGGACUGAUUAAGAGCUUGCUCUUAUGACGUUAGCGGCGGACGGGUGAGUAACACGUGGGCAACCUGCCCUGUAGAUCGGGAUAACACCGAGAAAUCGGUGCUAAUACCGGGUAAUAUCUGAGAUCACAUGAUCUUAGGUUAAAAGAUGGCUCCGGCUAUCACUACAGGAUGGGCCCGCGGCGCAUUAGCUAGUUGGUAAGGUAAUGGCUUACCAAGGCGACGAUGCGUAGCCGACCUGAGAGGGUGAUCGGCCACACUGGGACUGAGACACGGCCCAGACUCCUACGGGAGGCAGCAGUAGGGAAUCUUCCGCAAUGGACGAAAGUCUGACGGAGCAACGCCGCGUGAGUGAUGAAGGGGUUCGGCUCGUAAAGCUCUGUUGUUAGGGAAGAAACAGUACCGAACGAACUAGGUCGGUACCUUGACGGUACCUAACCAGAAAGCCACGGCUAACUACGUG
RNAcentral lists this ribosomal RNA (499 nucleotides) under uncultured bacterium. RNAcentral's name for it is "partial 16S ribosomal RNA". It matches the Rfam family "Bacterial small subunit ribosomal RNA", at positions 29 to 507 of the family's 1533-position model. The record is from RNAcentral.